GGGAAACCAACUUGGGGAUCAUAUUUCCCGCGCUCUCAUGGCGGCACCAUCUUUGUGUUUCUCAAGAAGUCUAUGUAUACCCGCGCGUCUCAUGGCCAGGGAGCUCACUCACCGUGGGCACCACCACCCUCGCCCGGCAAACCGAGCGUCGCUGCCAUGCAGUCGUCGGAGGUGGAGGAGAAUGCGGCCCCGCCGCGCAUGUACUUCAUCCCAUUCCCGACGCCGGGCCACGCGCUGCCGAUGUCCGACCUCGCGCGCCUCUUCGCGUCCCGCGGCGCCGACGCGANNN
Molecule: long non-coding RNA, 289 nt
Filed under: Oryza brachyantha (malo sina)
Lineage: Eukaryota; Viridiplantae; Streptophyta; Magnoliopsida; Poales; Poaceae
Description: long non-coding RNA (OBRA_LNC000716)
Source: RNAcentral